This 2832-nucleotide ribosomal RNA is filed under the name Euastacus rieki. RNAcentral's name for it is "eukaryotic LSU rRNA". It matches the Rfam family "Eukaryotic large subunit ribosomal RNA", at positions 87 to 1882 of the family's 3401-position model. The record is from RNAcentral. Lineage: Eukaryota; Metazoa; Arthropoda; Malacostraca; Decapoda; Parastacidae.
GGGCGACUGAACCGGGAAGAGCCCAGCGCAUAACCUCGUGUCGUUAACCCGGCACGAGGGGUGUUGCGUUUCGGAGGGUCCAGCACGCCGUGCCAUACCGUCUAAGUCAAGCUUGAAAGCGGCCACUACCCAUGGAGGGUGACAGGCCCGUGUGGCGGCGCCCGCGAGGGUAAAGAUGGCACGGUCGGAAAGGGCCUCUCUGUAGAGUCGGGUUGCUUAAUAGUGCAGCCCAAAGCAGGUGGUAAACUCCAUCUAAGGCUAAAUAUGACCACGAGACCGAUAGCGAACAAGUACCGUGAGGGAAAGUUGAAAAGAACUUUGAAGAGAGAGUUCAAGAGUACGUGAAACCGUUAAGAGCCAAACGGAUGGAACCUCGAAGGUCGAACUGAGGGGAUUCAGCUCGUCGGCCGUCGGCUGGGUGCGAGUUUUCGUUGAGUCGGUGCGACCCGAGGAAACUCGGGCGCGCUCGCAUCCACGCUGGCGUCGGCGGGCGCAUUUCGCCUCGUAGUAGGGCGCCGCGACCCGUUGCUGGGGGACGUCUAAUAAGGCCCCGGUGGAUUGGUACCCUACCUUCGACGAGUGCAGCCUCCGCAUGCUGCUGCUGCUGCUGCUGCGGCGGCGGCGGCGGCGGCAGCGGCGGCUGCUUCGGCGCUUGGUAGGCGAAACCACCGUUGGUGAUCCUGGCUGCCCUGCGACGGUCGUAGAGACGAGUCCCUAUCCCCAUACCUGGGGGUAGGGGUUGCUCUCGUCUCGCGGCGUGCAAAAAGAUCGGUGAUCCAUCCGACCCGUCUUGAAACACGGACCAAGGAGUCUAACAUGUGUGCGAGUCAGUGGGCGCACUAAACCCAAAGGCGUAAUGAAAGUGAAAUAAAACAAAACGAGUCCGGCGCGCGCGUCUUUCCAUGGUGCGGGCGUCGGAAGAAGCAUCGGAGGGCCGAUCCAUCGCCUUCCUCCCUCCACCGACAUUGGUGCCAGGUGAGCCAUUUUCCCUGGCCUCUGCCGGAGGCUGCGGAGGAGCGCGUAGGCGCAGGCCCGGGACUUGCCAAGACGCCGCGAGGACAAUAACAAUCGCCGCCUUCUUCCGUCAGCGAGGUUGGAGAUGACGAUGACGCCGUCAUCCUCUCUCUCUCUCAGCCGAGCGGCGGUAGCGGGUGGUGGUUAUGAUGAUAAAAUGGCGCGUGCAGUCGGCAAGUACCACGAGCAGACAUGUUGGUACCCGAAAGAUGGUGAACUAUGCCUGGCCAGGAUGAAGCCAGAGGAAACUCUGGUGGAGGUCCGUAGCGAUUCUGACGUGCAAAUCGAUCGUCUGAGCUGGGUAUAGGGGCGAAAGACUAAUCGAAUCAUCUAGUAGCUGGUUCCCUCUGAAGUUUCCCUCAGGAUAGCUGGAACUCGCAGGAUGAAUUUCGUCCGGUAAAGCGAAUGAUUAGAGGUGUUGGGGACGAAACGUCCUCAACCUAUUCUCAAACUUUAAAUGGGUGAGAUGCCGAGCUUUCUUGAAUACUGGCUGAUGAAGCUCCGGCGAUGAUUAAUCUGAGUAUCUAGUGGGCCAUUUUUGGUAAGCAGAACUGGCGCUGUGGGAUGAACCAAACGUCGAGUUAAGGGGCCUAAAUGAAUGCUCAUUCAGAUCCCAUCGAAAGGCGUUGGUUGCUAUAGACAGCAGGACGGUGGCCAUGGAAGUCGGAAUCCGCUAAGGAGUGUGUAACAACUCACCUGCCGAAGCAACUAGCCCUUAAAAUGGUAUGGCGCUUAAGCAUUCUCCCGAUACUCGACCGCCGGGGCACUAGCGGCCACGUCCCAGAGGCGAGGUCUCGAAGCCCCGGUGAGUAAGAGGGUCGCAGUGGUGAGCGCUGAAGGGAUCCGGCGUGAGCCGGCCUGGAGCCGCCACUGGUGCAGAUCUUGGUGGUAGUAGCAAAUACUCGAGAGAGACUCCCUUGAAGACCGAUGUGGAGAAGGGUUCCAUGUGAACAUCAGUUGGACAUGGGUUAGUCGCUCCUAAGCCCAAGGCUAAGGCCUGAUCCCAUGCUAGCGGCAACGUUCGGCCAAAGUAAGGAGCAUGCCAGCAUGAGGAGAAUAUGUAGAAGACGACGACGACGAUUAAGCAGCAGAAGAGACGAAGGCUGCUGCUGCUGCUGCUGUUGCUGUGGCGGCAACGGCGGCGGCGGCGGCGGCUGACUAGGGAGAAUGGAGCACGGUCCGAGGCGGCGGCGGCGGCGGCGGCGGCGGCGGCGGCGACGGCGGCGGUAUCAUCUACUGCUGCUGCUGCUGCUGCUGCUGCUGCUGCUGCUUCUGUCGAGUGCAUCUCCUGCAGAAGCUGCAGUCGUUGUUUUGUUCUUCUUUUCUCUCAUGUGCUUCUCGUUGCCCGGGAUUAGUGGCGAAAGGGAAUACGGUACUUAUUCCGUAACCUGGACUCGGAUAAAAAAAAAAAAAACCAGGCAGGCCCAGCACGCAAGCAAGCGACUUGCUCCCGAAAGGGAAAUUUCGCUACGGCUGCUGCUGGUGCUGCAGCUGACGCUGUUGCCCUGUGUUGAGGACCCCGGUGACGGGAACCAGCUCGCGCCCAUCGGCGGUGGUCCGGGAAAGAGUUUUCUUUUCUGUUUAAGGCGCCGUGACCCUAGAAACCAUCCGCAGGGAGAAAGGGGAUUGGUAACACGGUUAGCCGUAGAGCGCCGCGGUUCUUGCGGCGUCCCGCGUGCCACCGCCGGUCCGUGAAACCGCGAGGAAGGUAACUCUGGCUAGAUUUGUUGGGUCUCCGUGCCCGUCCAAAAAAACAAAUGCCUAAUUUCGAGACAGUGCGUACCCAUAUCCGCAGCAGGUCUCCGAGGUAAGCAGCUU